GAGGAAUAUUGGUCAAUGGGCGCAAGCCUGAACCAGCCAUCCCGCGUGAAGGAUGAAUGUCUUAUGGAUUGUAAACUUCUUUUCUGUGCCAAGGAUAUGCCUUACGUGUAGGGUAUUGACGGUAGCACAGGAAUAAGCACCGGCUAACUCCGUGCCAGCAGCCGCGGUAAUACGGAGGGUGCAAGCGUUAUCCGGAUUUAUUGGGUUUAAAGGGUGCGUAGGUGGAAUGAUAAGUCAGUGGUGAAAUCCUGCAGCUUAACUGUAGAACUGCCAUUGAUACUGUUGUUCUUGAGUGUAGUUGAGGUAGGCGGAAUGAGUAGUGUAGCGGUGAAAUGCUUAGAUAUUACUCAGAACACCGAUUGCGAAGGCAGCUUACUAAACUAUUACUGACACUGAUGCACGAAAGCGUGGGGAUCGAAC
This 420-nucleotide ribosomal RNA is filed under the name uncultured bacterium. RNAcentral's name for it is "bacterial SSU rRNA". It matches the Rfam family "Bacterial small subunit ribosomal RNA", at positions 356 to 773 of the family's 1533-position model. The record is from RNAcentral.